AUACGUAGGUGGCAAGCGUUGUCCGGAAUUAUUGGGCGUAAAGCGCGCGCAGGUGGUUCUUUAAGUCUGAUGUGAAAGCCCACGGCUCAACCGUGGAGGGUCAUUGGAAACUGGGGAACUUGAGUGCAGAAGAGGAAAGUGGAAUUCCAAGUGUAGCGGUGAAAUGCGUAGAGAUUUGGAGGAACACCAGUGGCGAAGGCGACUUUCUGGUCUGUAACUGACACUGAGGCGCGAAAGCGUGGGGAGCAAACAGGAUUAGAUACCCUGGUAGUCCACGCCGUAAACGAUGAGUGCUAAGUGUUAGAGGGUUUCCGCCCUUUAGUGCUGCAGCUAACGCAUUAAGCACUCCGCCUGGGGAGUACGGCCGCAAGGCUGAA
This 377-nucleotide ribosomal RNA is filed under the name uncultured bacterium. RNAcentral describes it as "bacterial SSU rRNA". It matches the Rfam family "Bacterial small subunit ribosomal RNA", at positions 523 to 898 of the family's 1533-position model. The record is from RNAcentral.